GACGAACGCUGGCGGCGUGCUUAACACAUGCAAGUCGAGCGGUAAGGCCCCUUCGGGGGUACACGAGCGGCGAACGGGUGAGUAACACGUGGGUGACCUGCCCUCAGCUCUGGGAUAAGCCUGGGAAACUGGGUCUAAUACCGGAUAUGACUCCAUGACGCAUGUCGUGGGGUGGAAAGCCUUGUGCGGCUGGGGAUGGGCCCGCGGCCUAUCAGCUUGUUGGUGGGGUGAUGGCCUACCAAGGCGACGACGGGUAGCCGGCCUGAGAGGGCGACCGGCCACACUGGGACUGAGACACGGCCCAGACUCCGUACGGGAGGCAGCAGGUGGGGAAUCUUGCGCAAUGGGCGAAAGCCUGACGCAGCGACGCCGCGUGAGGGAUGACGGCCUGG
Molecule: ribosomal RNA, 392 nt
Filed under: uncultured bacterium
Lineage: Bacteria
Description: bacterial SSU rRNA
Rfam family: Bacterial small subunit ribosomal RNA
Source: RNAcentral